Molecule: ribosomal RNA, 492 nt
Filed under: uncultured bacterium
Lineage: Bacteria
Description: partial 16S ribosomal RNA
Rfam family: Bacterial small subunit ribosomal RNA
Source: RNAcentral
AGUGAACGCUGGCGGUAGGCCUAACACAUGCAAGUCGAGCGGCAGCACAGUAAGAGCUUGCUCUUACGGGUGGCGAGUGGCGGACGGGUGAGGAAUACAUCGGAAUCUACUUUUUCGUGGGGGAUAACGUAGGGAAACUUACGCUAAUACCGCAUACGACCUACGGGUGAAAGCAGGGGAUCUUCGGACCUUGCGCGAUUGAAUGAGCCGAUGUCGGAUUAGCUAGUUGGCGGGGUAAAGGCCCACCAAGGCGACGAUCCGUAGCUGGUCUGAGAGGAUGAUCAGCCACACUGGAACUGAGACACGGUCCAGACUCCUACGGGAGGCAGCAGUGGGGAAUAUUGGACAAUGGGCGCAAGCCUGAUCCAGCCAUACCGCGUGGGUGAAGAAGGCCUUCGGGUUGUAAAGCCCUUUUGUUGGGAAGGAAAAGCAGCAGGUUAAUACCCCGCUGUUCUGACGGUACCCAAAGAAUAAGCACCGGCUAACUUCGUG